This 449-nucleotide ribosomal RNA is filed under the name uncultured prokaryote. Its description in RNAcentral is "bacterial SSU rRNA". It matches the Rfam family "Bacterial small subunit ribosomal RNA", at positions 355 to 796 of the family's 1533-position model. The record is from RNAcentral.
UCGAGAAUCUUCCGCAAUGGGCGCAAGCCUGACGGAGCGACGCCGCGUGGAGGAAGAAGGCCUUCGGGUUGUAAACUCCUGUCAGAGUUUAUGAAUGCGUGCGGGUUAAUACCCCGUCACGUUGACAAAGGACUCAAAGGAAGCCACAGCUAACUUCGUGCCAGCAGCUGCGGUAAUACGAAGGUGGCGAGCGUUGUUCGGAUUCACUGGGCAUAAAGGGCGCGUAGGCGGUCCUGUAAGCGGAGGGUGAAAGCCCGGGGCUCAACCCCGGAACUGCUCUCCGAACUGCAGGGCUAGAGGACGAGAGGGGGCUUUGGAACUCUAGGUGGAGCGGUGAAAUGCGUAGAUAUCUAGAGGAACGCCGGUGGCGAAAGCGAAAGCCUGGCUCGUUUCUGACGCUGAGGCGCGAAAGCGUGGGUAGCAAACAGGAUUAGAUACCCCCGUAGUCC